CCCUGUUUGUUUGACGUCUGAUUCUGAAUCACAUUCAGACAAUUUGAUUAGGAGAGGAGUUAUCAAUAACAAUGGUAACCUUUGUAUAAGAGGAUGCAUAAUGGUUGAAGAUAAUGUUAUUGAAAGGUCGUGGUCUUUGACUCUUUGGUGGCAAAUCGGUUAGGCUUUGAAUUUGUGAGUCACGAUUCAUUUUAUAAGUAUCGGAUGGAAUUUGGUGCUUUAGGUGGUUUUCAAAAAGAUAUUUCCUUUUAUUGAACAUUGUGUAGACUUCUACGGUAUGAACAAUAUAGACAUAACACUAUGGUUGUAUUUUUAAUGACAAGGAUGAAAAUUUGCAAACUUUAAGUGAGAAGAUUGAGC
RNAcentral lists this long non-coding RNA (360 nucleotides) under Medicago truncatula (barrel medic). RNAcentral's name for it is "lncRNA gene28430". The record is from RNAcentral. Lineage: Eukaryota; Viridiplantae; Streptophyta; Magnoliopsida; Fabales; Fabaceae.